RNAcentral lists this ribosomal RNA (474 nucleotides) under Triticum aestivum (bread wheat). Its description in RNAcentral is "partial small subunit ribosomal RNA". The record is from RNAcentral. Lineage: Eukaryota; Viridiplantae; Streptophyta; Magnoliopsida; Poales; Poaceae.
AUGGCGGAUAGCAACCCGGACAGCAUCAAGAGAUACACGCCUCCCGUGCACAGGAAUCGUGCAAACAAUCGCCGCAAGGCUGGAGAUAGGGCUGAGAAAGCCAACUAUUCAUACAACAAUGAUGGAGAGAAGAGCCAUGUUCCUUCACUAAAGAACCUUCCUCCAAUUAUCCAUCAUGAUGCUUUUGUCAGCAAUGCUCAAAAUGAUUACAGUCAUGCAAGAUUAGUACCAUUGGAAGGAUGUUCUGCCAGUGAGGCUUCACAGCUUCUCAGUGAACGUUGGGCUGCUGCAAUGAACAUGUAUAAUGACCCAAAUGAUUCCCCUGAUAAACCAGUGAUGUACGCUGGAUCUGGCGGAUCGUCAUGGGGUCAAGGUCACAUGAAGCUUCCUCAUCAGAUGAACUUCCUCGAAGAUCUGCGUCGUGCGGUAGAUGCUCAAACGGGCCUGGCAGCGGCGCUCAGCAGCUGGAACUAA